This is a long non-coding RNA of Petromyzon marinus (sea lamprey), 1082 nucleotides long. RefSeq lists it as uncharacterized. The record is from RefSeq and is a predicted model, not a curated record. Lineage: Eukaryota; Metazoa; Chordata; Hyperoartia; Petromyzontiformes; Petromyzontidae.
UACAGUCUGUUAAGUCUAUACGGGGGAUCUUUGUCUUUGUGUGUGUGUGUGUGCAGCGCGCGAGGCGUGGAAGCGCCGCUACCUGCAUGAGAAGAGAGCCACCCCUGCGCUGGAGGAGGAGCUGCGUCCCGUUCGGGAGGAGCUGGACGCGCUGCUGUCCCGCAACGCGCACCUCACCGCCACCGUCACCACCCACACACUCAAGGACACGCUCCUCGCGCGACUGCAGGGCGCCCAGCAGCGCGUGGAGAAGCUCGUCGGAGACAUUGAGAGCGGCGCGGCGAAACUCCGCUCCGAGCAAAAGCUGCGGAAGGACGCCCAGCAGGAGCUCAAGGCGGCACGGGCGCAGUUGGCGCAGCGGAGGGCGCUGGCGUCCGUGGCAAGAAAACCCGGAGUCGCGUACGGGCUCUAGCGCGCUCGCCGCACGAGGGCGGAAUGUCCACCUUCGGGUCGAGAGCGGCCGCUGUCGACGAAGGCUUGUGUCCACCCCCCCCCCCCGCCACCGCGUGCUCAUUGGAGUGCGGAGGACACGCUUGGGAGUUCCUUUGCUUAUCUUUGCGUUAGUUUCUUCGCCGAAAGUAUUUCAUCGAAGAAACGCGUACGGCGCGCACGGCAACGAUAAUUACCAACGUUCGAUAUUUUGAAGCGCCUAUCUGCGCCGUGUGUUUCAAUAAAGUGGGGGGUGCUAUUUGUGCGCCAUUUAAUUAAACCCGCUCGGGUCUGCCCUGACAAGGAGAUGUUGUAUCUCAGUGGCACGGGGUAUGGGAUACCUAUCUGCGGCCUGUGGGCCAGACGCGCCCCAUGACUUCAUUUUAUACAGGCCGUGCGGAUUGCUUUUCUCCGGGUCCCUCCGGUUUUCCCCCUUCACAUUUAGAAUCAACGUGCGUUUCGAUGAUUUUGCUGCUAUACGUUUCCACGUGACGAUAAGAAACUUCAUCGAGGUAUAAUUUGUCACCAAGCCCACCAAGCUGUUAGUAGCUAAUUGCUCGGUGGGCUUUACCUGGUGAGAUAAAAAAACAGAGAGUUUAGUUAUAUUUGUAUGUAUGUAUAUUACUGGUAGGGACCUCCUGGUUACUACACCA